CGGUGAAUACGUUCCCGGGUCUUGUACACACCGCCCGUCACACCAUGGAAGUCGGUUCUGCCUUUAAGCCGCCCUUAAAAGCGUCCACGGCAGGGUCGAUGACUGGGGUG
RNAcentral lists this ribosomal RNA (110 nucleotides) under uncultured bacterium. RNAcentral describes it as "partial 16S ribosomal RNA". It matches the Rfam family "Bacterial small subunit ribosomal RNA", at positions 1360 to 1482 of the family's 1533-position model. The record is from RNAcentral.